CAGACCUCAAGAUAAGACUUCCCAUCCGAAAGGAGUAAGACCCCUUGUAGACUACGAGGUAGAUAGGUUGGAGGUGUAAGCAUGGUAACAUGUGUAGCUGACCAAUACUAACGGUUCGAGGGUUUGACCUA
This 131-nucleotide ribosomal RNA is filed under the name Niameybacter sp. RNAcentral describes it as "partial 23S ribosomal RNA". It matches the Rfam family "Bacterial large subunit ribosomal RNA", at positions 2793 to 2925 of the family's 2925-position model. The record is from RNAcentral. Lineage: Bacteria; Bacillati; Bacillota; Clostridia; Lachnospirales; Lachnospiraceae.